This 346-nucleotide unclassified non-coding RNA is filed under the name fungal sp. RNAcentral describes it as "partial internal transcribed spacer region". The record is from RNAcentral. Lineage: Eukaryota; Fungi.
AAGUCGCAACAAGGUUUCCGUAGGUGAACCUGGGGAAGAAUCAUUAACACGUAAAACAACCCUGUGAACCUUCCUAGCGUGUUCUUGCAGGACAUCAACAAUCCCGAGUAAAUCAGGCGCUCAAGAAUUACAGAUUUUGAUUUUGGAAAGUUCUGAGCGCUAGAUGAAGCACCCUGGUACCCCUGUCUGAAAGCGGCAAGGGAUCAAUGUUCAGGGGGGCGCAGUCAACGAUCGCUGUGGGGUGGAGGCGAAGCUCCUACGUCAUCCCUAUGUACCCUCCGGGACUUGGCGAAAGCUGACUCCGUCAUAAAUCGAACAACUGUUAACAAUGGAUAUCUUGGUUCUC